GGGUUGUGAGGUUAAGCGACUAAGCGUACACGGUGGAUGCCCUGGCAGUCAGAGGCGAUGAAGGGCGUGCUAAUCUGCGAUAAGCGCCGGUAAGGUGAUAUGAACCGUUAUAACCGGCGAUACCCGAAUGGGGAAACCCAGUGUGAUUCGUCACACUAUCAUUAACUGAAUCCAUAGGUUAAUGAGGCGAACCGGGGGAACUGAAACAUCUAAGUACCCCGAGGAAAAGAAAUCAACCGAGAUUCCCCCAGUAGCGGCGAGCGAACGGGGAGGAGCCCAGAGCCUGAAUCAGCAUGUGUGUUAGUGGAAGCGUCUGGAAAGGCGCGCGAUACAGGGUGACAGCCCCGUACACAAAAGCGCAUGUGCUGUGAGCUCGAUGAGUAGGGCGGGACACGUGGUAUCCUGUCUGAAUAUGGGGGGACCAUCCUCCAAGGCUAAAUACUCCUGACUGACCGAUAGUGAACCAGUACCGUGAGGGAAAGGCGAAAAGAACCCCGGCGAGGGGAGUGAAAAAGAACCUGAAACCGUGUACGUACAAGCAGUGGGAGCACAGGUUUACCUGUGUGACUGCGUACCUUUUGUAUAAUGGGUCAGCGACUUAUAUUCUGUAGCAAGGUUAACCGAAUAGGGGAGCCGUAGGGAAACCGAGUCUUAACCGGGCGUUAAGUUGCAGGGUAUAGACCCGAAACCCGGUGAUCUAGCCAUGGGCAGGUUGAAGGUUGGGUAACACUAACUGGAGGACCGAACCGACUAAUGUUGAAAAAUUAGCGGAUGACCUGUGGCUGGGGGUGAAAGGCCAAUCAAACCGGGAGAUAGCUGGUUCUCCCCGAAAGCUAUUUAGGUAGCGCCUCGUGAAUUCAUCUCCGGGGGUAGAGCACUGUUUCGGCUAGGGGGCCAUCCCGGCUUACCAACCCGAUGCAAACUGCGAAUACCGGAGAAUGUUAUCACGGGAGACACACGGCGGGUGCUAACGUCCGUCGUGAAGAGGGAAACAACCCAGACCGCCAGCUAAGGUCCCAAAGUCAUGGUUAAGUGGGAAACGAUGUGGGAAGGCCCAGACAGCCAGGAUGUUGGCUUAGAAGCAGCCAUCAUUUAAAGAAAGCGUAAUAGCUCACUGGUCGAGUCGGCCUGCGCGGAAGAUGUAACGGGGCUAAACCAUGCACCGAAGCUGCGGCAGCGAACGUAUCACUUAAAGCGAUUCAGCGGGUUACGAUUGACGGAGCGAAGCGACGUCAAAGCGUAUACAAAGUCGAGUCGGUUUAAGGAUACGUUCGUUGGGUAGGGGAGCGUUCUGUAAGCCUGCGAAGGUGGCCUGUGAGGGUUGCUGGAGGUAUCAGAAGUGCGAAUGCUGACAUAAGUAACGAUAAAGCGGGUGAAAAGCCCGCUCGCCGGAAGACCAAGGGUUCCUGUCCAACGUUAAUCGGGGCAGGGUGAGUCGACCCCUAAGGCGAGGCCGAAAGGCGUAGUCGAUGGGAAACGGGUUAAUAUUCCCGUACUUGGUGUUACUGCGAAGGGGGGACGGAGAAGGCUAUGUUGGCCGGGCGACGGUUGUCCCGGUUUAAGCGUGUAGGUGUGUGUUCCAGGUAAAUCCGGUUCACUUUAACACUGAGGCGUGAUGACGAGGCACUACGGUGCUGAAGCAACAAAUGCCCUGCUUCCAGGAAAAGCCUCUAAGCAUCAGGUAACAUCAAAUCGUACCCCAAACCGACACAGGUGGUCAGGUAGAGAAUACCAAGGCGCUUGAGAGAACUCGGGUGAAGGAACUAGGCAAAAUGGUGCCGUAACUUCGGGAGAAGGCACGCUGACACGUAGGUGAAGUGAUUUACUCACGGAGCUGAAGUCAGUCGAAGAUACCAGCUGGCUGCAACUGUUUAUUAAAAACACAGCACUGUGCAAACACGAAAGUGGACGUAUACGGUGUGACGCCUGCCCGGUGCCGGAAGGUUAAUUGAUGGGGUCAGCGCAAGCGAAGCUCCUGAUCGAAGCCCCGGUAAACGGCGGCCGUAACUAUAACGGUCCUAAGGUAGCGAAAUUCCUUGUCGGGUAAGUUCCGACCUGCACGAAUGGCGUAAUGAUGGCCAGGCUGUCUCCACCCGAGACUCAGUGAAAUUGAACUCGCUGUGAAGAUGCAGUGUACCCGCGGCAAGACGGAAAGACCCCGUGAACCUUUACUAUAGCUUGACACUGAACAUUGAGCCUUGAUGUGUAGGAUAGGUGGGAGGCUUUGAAGCGUGGACGCCAGUCUGCGUGGAGCCGACCUUGAAAUACCACCCUUUAAUGUUUGAUGUUCUAACGUGGACCCGUAAUCCGGGUUGCGGACAGUGUCUGGUGGGUAGUUUGACUGGGGCGGUCUCCUCCUAAAGAGUAACGGAGGAGCACGAAGGUUGGCUAAUCCUGGUCGGACAUCAGGAGGUUAGUGCAAUGGCAUAAGCCAGCUUGACUGCGAGCGUGACGGCGCGAGCAGGUGCGAAAGCAGGUCAUAGUGAUCCGGUGGUUCUGAAUGGAAGGGCCAUCGCUCAACGGAUAAAAGGUACUCCGGGGAUAACAGGCUGAUACCGCCCAAGAGUUCAUAUCGACGGCGGUGUUUGGCACCUCGAUGUCGGCUCAUCACAUCCUGGGGCUGAAGUAGGUCCCAAGGGUAUGGCUGUUCGCCAUUUAAAGUGGUACGCGAGCUGGGUUUAGAACGUCGUGAGACAGUUCGGUCCCUAUCUGCCGUGGGCGCUGGAGAACUGAGGGGGGCUGCUCCUAGUACGAGAGGACCGGAGUGGACGCAUCACUGGUGUUCGGGUUGUCAUGCCAAUGGCACUGCCCGGUAGCUAAAUGCGGAAGAGAUAAGUGCUGAAAGCAUCUAAGCACGAAACUUGCCCCGAGAUGAGUUCUCCCUGAGACUUUAGGUCUCCUGAAGGAACGUUGAAGACGACGACGUUGAUAGGCCGGGUGUGUAAGCGCAGCGAUGCGUUGAGCUAACCGGUACUAAUGAACCGUGAGGCUUAACCUUACAACGCCGAAG
This 3010-nucleotide ribosomal RNA is filed under the name Salmonella enterica subsp. enterica serovar Newport str. USDA-ARS-USMARC-1925. RNAcentral's name for it is "23S ribosomal RNA". It matches the Rfam family "Bacterial large subunit ribosomal RNA". The record is from RNAcentral. Lineage: Bacteria; Pseudomonadati; Pseudomonadota; Gammaproteobacteria; Enterobacterales; Enterobacteriaceae.